GCCAGGGGCUGGGGACUCAGAGAUAAUAGGGUUAGAAUCAGCCCACAGUUGAAGGGGAUGGAGCGGGGCUUUCACAGAAAUCAUUAACAUUGUUUUCUCCUUUCUUCAUUUGUUCAUCCUUUCAAUUCCUGCUCUGGUGGGACAUGGGGCUGGGCUGGAGGAUACAUGAGGAGGAAGACAGAUCAGGUUCCCGGCCUCCCAGAGGUCCUGCCCCGACACUGUUCGCCCUCAGAGCCUGAGACGCCAAGAUGGCGUGCAGGAAGCUCGCAAAACUAUCCAUGAGCAGGAACGUGGAUAGAGACAGCCACUGAACCGAUAAUUGCAUGGGUCGUUAGUGACCAAUUGUCCUAAGAGCUAAGGAAGAGAAGCACGACGGGGAGGGUGCCCGAGAAAACAAAACAGGUGACAACCCUACGGGCAUCCGAGAAGUCUUCCCAAGGAAGUGACGUUCACAAUGACGCUUGAAGUUGUAUAUCAUAGUUGCAGGUCCUUCUAGUUGUGGGACGUGGGACGCCGCCUCAACGUGGCCUGACAAGCGGUGCCAUGUCCACGCCCAGGAUCCAAACCCUGGGCCGCCGCAGCGGAGCGCGCGAACUUAACCACUCAGCCAUGGAGCCGGCCCCAGUUAUUCCUCAUAGGAGCACUGCGAAGGAAAUCUUAUCAACCCCACUUGACAGAUGAAGAAACAGAGGCUCAGAAACUACAAGCAACCCACUUGGAUUUACCCACCCAGUCAGUCGGCAGAGUCAGGAUUGGAACCCAGAUCUAUGUGCUUCCAAAACCUACACUGUUUCCUAUAGGCUAUGAUGUCCCCAGUUCAGAAUUUCAACUUCGACAAAACAACUUUGAUCUGGAGAGUCCCACCCCUCGGUAUUGCCUCCAGGAAUCUCACGAGUGUAUCCACUCUGUAAACAUCGUGGUGACGGUGCUCCUGAAGGGCCAGCAUCCAUUUCCAGAACAUCUAACAUGUGCCAUCCCCUAGAUGCGUUACUUAAAUUAUUUCACAUCUUUAUGCUGCUCUGCAAGUAGGUAUUAUUCUCCUCAUUAUGCAGAUAAUGGACACAGAGUCUCAGA
Molecule: long non-coding RNA, 1074 nt
Filed under: Equus caballus (horse)
Lineage: Eukaryota; Metazoa; Chordata; Mammalia; Perissodactyla; Equidae
Description: lncRNA (ENSECAG00000055606.1)
Source: RNAcentral